GACUGUAAAUACUGGACAAACGGAUUCCAUUGGCUUCAAUAACACGUUUGUUGUCUAUAAUGGGAGGUGGCCACCACCGCCAUUUUGACCGUGUCACAGGUUCCGUCCAGCCCAGACAAUUCCAUAAAAGGGAAGAGAGGAGGCGCUGAGGGUGUGGCUGUAAGGCUGGGCUCGAGUGACGACACCCAGGCGAACUAGCUACGAGCUAACCUGAAGCUAACCCUGGCUAACCCAAAGCUAAAGCGGAGGUGGGAGCCGAGCUAACGGAUGUAGCCACCUAGCUUCAACCCAACCGGAGCUAACUGGAACACCCAUCGACCUGAACCUUACACGGAGUUUAGGUGGAGGUUUUCUGCGCCUGUUCGUGAGAAGUACCUGUAUUAAAAAAGUUUUAAAUCGGUAAGUUUAUAAUUUAUUUCCGUAAUGAAUACAUUUUGCUUUGAGCAAGUUUUCAGUAGUUUUUUUCGGCGCUAUCACUCCUGAGUCGCACCAGCCAUUAAAUGUAUCAUGAAGAAGAGAAAAUAUAUUUAAGUCGUAUUUUGGGGGGACAUUUUAUUAUCUUUCUUACAAAAUCUGAGACCAAGAGUUUCACAUUGCAACACAAGCACCGGUAACCAUAACAGAAUGAACAGCCAGCAGAGGAGAGGAUGGCGGUGUUUCAAACCCUCCCGGCCGGCGUGUAGAGCUCAUUCCUGGGCUGGAGCCGGCCCUCAGCACCCCGCCACAGGCUCUAACAGAUGCUGGCGGUGUUUCAUAUAUUUCCAAAACGUAAUACUUGUUUGUAUCUUGUACAGCCAACUAGCCUUUAUUCUGGACUCAGUACAAUUUACCAAAAGUAAAGAGACAUUAUACAGAUGAAGUAAGCACAAGAUAACUUACUGGAAGACACAGAGUUAUCAUCAGAACCAGAACAAGAGAGCCUGAUAACAGUCAUGUGAAAAUAACAGUUAAAAAGUAUGUAUGUAUAAUAGAAAUAAAAAUAUAUUAGAAUUAGUGUAACUCACUGUGAUCCAAACAAAUCAGCCAUAGCUGAUUAGUAAAUAUGACAUGAGGUCUGGGAGUUUUUAAGUUUCAUUCUUUUAUUACAUUUUUUUCUUAGAUCUAUUAAAAGGUCACCAUGGCAGCCUGUGUGUCAACGUCAGCUACACAAAGCAGCAAGUCCAUUUGGAUCAUUGGAGACAGCUGAGUGAGGCGUGGUGCCCAGAGAGCUGCAGAGACAACCUUGGCCUCCCUGACGUCUGUGUCUCCUGGUUUGGAUGGGACGGACCAUCGACAUACAUACAUGUGCCGACACUUUGCGCCCUGUUUUAUAAACUGUAGUGUUAAAAAUAAAUGUUUUUGCUCAAUUACUGGAAUUUCUUUGGUUAAGACAAAAGUGAGGAAUAAUCAUUUACAAGUUAUUUGUACAACAGGCCCAUUUUAAAUCCCAACAGUUUCUUAGCAGACAAUAGAAAUGUGUUCUUUACUAACUUUACUUGGUUUGAAAAUCUUACUAAAAUAAACCUGAGUGCCGUAUUGCAAAACCCAAUCAUACUUGUUAUGUAAACAUUAGCUUUGUAGAUAUUUUUUACAGAUAUAUAUUUGUGUGCAACAAAAACCAAACUUAAAUAAUUUGUCAUUCUUUAUUGAAAAACAACAAAAUACAGGUAUACAGAAGUGUGGGAAAAUGAUAAUGUGAAAGUAUUGCACUAUAAAUGAAGUGAGAUGAGAUGAAGGUGAGAUGAAGGUGGACGCCAGCGGGCUGGACGCCGGACGAAGAAACCUGGAGACGGAUCGCUCAGACAGGAAGGGAAGAGCUUCCUCUUACCUUGAUGGAAUUAAAGUUAGCCGUCGUCUGAACGCCCAACCGUACGGUCUGAGGUCAAAGGUCACAGGAAACACACACCAGUCAGCAGUCAUACAGAUGCAUAAAGAUAACUGUAGCCAUGGCAACCAGCUGACAUGUCCCCACUUUCACCAGCACCUGGUGCCUGCCGGGUCACCUGAAUUCCUGUGUGAUGUCAGCACGGUCGGCCGUGACUGCUGCCAUCAGAGGUGACCUCUGAUCAGCUGAAUGAACUCACCUUCUAGGGUGACGCCGUGUUAGAGUCGGCUUCAUCCUGUAAACAAACAAACAAACAAACAAAUGAGUGGUAACAAAAACACCACGUCUGGUUCUAGUGGAGGCGGAGGACAACAUGCACCUUUCCAGGAGCAGAACCCAGAUGUUCUUGUUGCUACAAACAGAGACGAGCAGAGUUAACAAACCAGGAAGUGAGAGGGACCAGCUGCUGCAGACAGGUGACGCUCACCUGAGCCGGAACCAUAGGAGCCUCCUCAGCCAUCAGACCUUCUGACUCCAGUUCAGAUGCCACCUUGUUGAUGUCCCUCAGGCGGGACUCGUUGGCCUUCAGGUCCUGCAGGACAAAAGCACCUGCUGAUUACCUUGUUGCGUUCGGGUUAACAGGUCUGGUGUUAGAACGUGGUGGAUAAGAAUGUUCUGACGGGCCGAGGGUUCUGAACUCACCCUGCAGGACUGGGCCUGCUCCUUCAGGGCCUGGAUGCUGCUGCCGUAAGCCGACAGGUCCGACAUCAGGGCCUCGUGCUUCUUCAGGAGAGCCUGUGGAGCAGAACAUCAGAACCUUCAGCUCGUCUGACACAAGUGGAGCUUUCUCGCAGCGAUGGUCCAAUCGGAUCCGCGACCGUAAAACAAACCCUGCUCAGUUCACCGCAGACGCAGCUCUGCGGGUGUUUAGUGGAAAAGCGUGAGCCUUCUGCCGGCUGCCACGUGUCAUGGCUGCUCUGCAGCGGGAACACACAUCACAGCUUGUAAACCGUUUGAAAUAAGAGCGACGGGAACACGUUUGUCAUCACUUCCUGUGCGAGGCCAGCACUUCUACCCCUAACCCAUGAGACGCUCAAACGAGCAACGACGUCUGGUAGACAACCGAAGGAAAUGACAAAUACAGAAACACUAAUUAUGAAGGACUGGAAAGAGAGCAAAGAAAAGCGAUUGGAGUUUCUCAGGAAGUGACUUCCAUACCUCGGCCAAGUCCUCGUCUUUCCCUUAGUCUGGACUUCCAACGAUGGGCUCCUUCUCCCUCAUCCAGGACUCGGCCUCAUUAGCAUCCGCAAAGUACUGCUGGGCCUGCAGAGAGUCCUCCAGGUCCUGCCUCCUCUGGGACGCCUUGGCCUUCAGCGUGUCCCAACGUCCAUGAAGCUCCCACAGUUUAGUCUUCACUUCCUCACCAGCGAAGUGACCUGGACCCAAAAAAAGUGAGCCAGAACCUGCAGACACCUCAGAAACAUGUCAGGACCAGACCUGCUCUACCUUCUUCCACCAUGGUCUCUCCUUUCUGGGUGACAGCCUUGAUGCGAGGUUCAUGACCUGUGAUCUCAGCCUGCAGAGCCUGGUGCUUCUUCAGCAGGUUCUGGACACCAAUCAGGUCCUUCCC
Molecule: non-coding RNA, 3434 nt
Organism: Nothobranchius furzeri (turquoise killifish)
Lineage: Eukaryota; Metazoa; Chordata; Actinopteri; Cyprinodontiformes; Nothobranchiidae
Source: RefSeq, a predicted model, not a curated record